This 1147-nucleotide ribosomal RNA is filed under the name Campylobacter jejuni. RNAcentral describes it as "partial 23S ribosomal RNA". It matches the Rfam family "Bacterial large subunit ribosomal RNA", at positions 232 to 1240 of the family's 2925-position model. Lineage: Bacteria; Pseudomonadati; Campylobacterota; Epsilonproteobacteria; Campylobacterales; Campylobacteraceae. The record is from RNAcentral.
AGAUUGCGUCAGUAGCGGCGAGCGAAAGCGCAAGAGGGCAAACCCAGUGCUUGCACUGGGGGUUGUAGGACUGCAAUGUGCAAGAGCUGAGUUUAGCAGAACAUUCUGGAAAGUAUAGCCAUAGAGGGUGAUAGUCCCGUAUGCGAAAAACAAAGCUUAGCUAGCAGUAUCCUGAGUAGGGCGGGACACGAGAAAUCCUGUCUGAAUCCGGGUCGACCACGAUCCAACCCUAAAUACUAAUACCAGAUCGAUAGUGCACAAGUACCGUGAGGGAAAGGUGAAAAGAACUGAGGUGAUCAGAGUGAAAUAGAACCUGAAACCAUUUGCUUACAAUCAUUCAGAGCACUAUGUAGCAAUACAGUGUGAUGGACUGCCUUUUGCAUAAUGAGCCUGCGAGUUGUGGUGUCUGGCAAGGUUAAGCAAACGCGAAGCCGUAGCGAAAGCGAGUCUGAAUAGGGCGCUUAGUCAGAUGCUGCAGACCCGAAACGAAGUGAUCUAUCCAUGAGCAAGUUGAAGCUAGUGUAAGAACUAGUGGAGGACUGAACCCAUAGGCGUUGAAAAGCCCCGGGAUGACUUGUGGAUAGGGGUGAAAGGCCAAUCAAACUUCGUGAUAGCUGGUUCUCUCCGAAAUAUAUUUAGGUAUAGCGUUGUGUCGUAAUAUAAGGGGGUAGAGCACUGAAUGGGCUAGGGCAUACACCAAUGUACCAAACCCUAUCAAACUCCGAAUACCUUAUAUGUAAUCACAGCAGUCAGGCGGCGAGUGAUAAAAUCCGUCGUCAAGAGGGAAACAACCCAGACUACCAGCUAAGGUCCCUAAAUCUUACUUAAGUGGAAAACGAUGUGAAGUUACUUAAACAACCAGGAGGUUGGCUUAGAAGCAGCCAUCCUUUAAAGAAAGCGUAAUAGCUCACUGGUCUAGUGAUUUUGCGCGGAAAAUAUAACGGGGCUAAAGUAAGUACCGAAGCUGUAGACUUGCGCACAACUUAGAUUAUUUAAGUUUAGAAUAUGAGAAACUAAGUUAUGUUUAGUUAUAUUUUUACUGAUUUUUAUAGAGUAAAGAUAGAAAUAAAACUUAGUAAAAUCAGUAAAAAUAUUCUUAGGCUAAAGUUAAGUAGUUUAAGUUGUGUGCAAGUGGUAGGAGAGCGUU